RNAcentral lists this unclassified non-coding RNA (463 nucleotides) under Hevea brasiliensis (rubber tree). Lineage: Eukaryota; Viridiplantae; Streptophyta; Magnoliopsida; Malpighiales; Euphorbiaceae. The record is from RNAcentral.
AAAAAUAAAUAAAUAAAUAAAUAGACCUAUCAAAUUAUAGACCUUGGUUAAGUAAGUACCCAAAACAGCUUUGGCGUAUAAAAUUUGACCUCAUUUAUUCAUCUGAUGAAAAAGAACUACUGAACAUGAAAGCCGCAGUACAAUUAAUCUCUCAAAAAGGGAACUUGCAAUUCCCAGCCAAAAUUUUUAUACAAUUCAAAGACCUCGCAAUAACGAAUGCCUCCUCCUCUCACGCUUCACUCUCCAGUUGUUAUCGGUGUUCAUGGGCUUCAAGAGUCGCUCUUCUUCCAUUUCAGAUUGGAGCGAAGAUUGCAGCCUUUUUAAAUGUUCACUGCACUGCUUAUGGUCAGAAGAGUUAAUGCUGCUAAAAUUUUGUUCCUCUGGGCUCCAAUGCCUCUCGUAGGGUGAUUGCCACUUCGCUUGCAAAUAAGCAAGCGACCUCCAUGGAGGAAGAGGCAUUGAG